RNAcentral lists this small nuclear RNA (101 nucleotides) under Nicotiana attenuata. Lineage: Eukaryota; Viridiplantae; Streptophyta; Magnoliopsida; Solanales; Solanaceae. The record is from RNAcentral.
UAUGUAACUGUAUCAGAAUAAAUUAAACAAAUUGGAAUGAUACAGUGAAGAUUAGGAUUGGCCCCUGAGCAAGCACAAGUCGAGAUAUGCUCCUGAUGCUU